Brassica oleracea var. oleracea is the source of this 979-nucleotide RNA transcript. It is a transcript of the gene named phenylalanine--tRNA ligase alpha subunit, cytoplasmic-like, with no coding region annotated. The record is from RefSeq and is a predicted model, not a curated record. NCBI's taxonomy places the organism in Eukaryota, Viridiplantae, Streptophyta, Magnoliopsida, Brassicales, Brassicaceae. The transcript has 5 exons.
CUGAAAGUCGAUGACUCUCUCAAGCGCCUAUUGCGAUGACUUCCAUCAUUACUUUACAUCCCAAAACAACGUCUACUUCACAUCUCAAGCUUCGCUCUAUAAAUAAGAAUCUGAUUCCUCUCUUCUCACCAACUUCGCAUACACGGCCAUGAACGAAUUCGAAGUUGAUUUUUAAGUUCAUCAACUCCAAUGACGGAACACGGCAAGAUGAGGCCUUUCUUUAUAACUUUACAUUCUCUUCGGUCCCAGAGAAGCAGAAAUUUCAAUAUCGAUUUUAAUUUAUGAACUCGGGCUCAAAGGUAACGAAGUUGAAAUUAAUAUGAGAGGUUCAAGAGCAAUUUGUUUAUACAUCUCAUUUAUGUCGGAGGCGGCGAUUCUAGGGUUCCUGCAGAACAACGAAUCAAUCUCAGAUUCCGGUCAAUUCGCAGCAGAGCACAAUCUCGACCACGAAGAAGUCAAAAACGUCAUCAAGAGCUUACAAGGUUUCCGCUAUAUCGAAGCUAAGGAGACAUUGGUUUUGACUGAUGACGGGAAGAAAUAUGCGGCAGAAGGGUCGCCGGAGAUUCACUUUUUCUCGGCUAUUCCUGAGGAAGGUAGCAUAUCCAAGGAUGAUCUUGAGUUCGGCAGACAUGAAGGGAGGUUAAAAGAAUAUGCUGAGAUAAGAGACGGAGUAUAUUAUUAGUAUCCCUUACUAUAUAUAUUUUGUUUUAUACAUGAAUAUAUUUCAAGAGACCAUUUGGAAUCAGUUCGGCAGACAUGAAGGGAGGUUAAAAGAAGAUGCUGAGAUAAGAGACGGAGUAUAUUAUUAGUAUCCCUUUCUAUAUAUAUUUUGUUUAAUACAUGAAUAUAUUUCAAGAGACCAUUUGGAAUCAGGUUAAAAGGCAACGCAACUUUUCUUUUUCUUUUUGCUUUCUACAUGUGUUGUCCACUACUUAGGUAUACUAGACAAUAUACAAUGCGACAUUCUUAAAAAUUUAUA